RNAcentral lists this ribosomal RNA (434 nucleotides) under uncultured bacterium. RNAcentral describes it as "partial 16S ribosomal RNA". It matches the Rfam family "Bacterial small subunit ribosomal RNA", at positions 29 to 507 of the family's 1533-position model. The record is from RNAcentral.
AGCGAACGCUGGCGGCAGGCCUAACACAUGCAAGUCGAACGAACCUUUCGGGGUUAGUGGCGGACGGGUGAGUAACACGUGGGAACGUGCCUUUAGGUUCGGAAUAACUCAGGGAAACUUGUGCUAAUACCGAAUGUGCCCUUCGGGGGAAAGAUUUAUCGCCUUUAGAGCGGCCCGCGUCUGAUUAGCUAGUUGGUUGAGGUAAUGGCUCACCAAGGCGACGAUCAGUAGCUGGUCUGAGAGGAUGAUCAGCCACAUUGGGACUGAGACACGGCCCAAACUCCUACGGGAGGCAGCAGUGGGGAAUCUUGCGCAAUGGGCGAAAGCCUGACGCAGCCAUGCCGCGUGGAUGAUGAAGGUCUUAGGAUUGUAAAAUUCUUUCACCGGGGACGAUAAUGACGGUACCCGGAGAAGAAGCCCCGGCUAACUUCGUG